Non-coding RNA from Rickenella mellea, 72 nucleotides. NCBI's taxonomy places the organism in Eukaryota, Fungi, Basidiomycota, Agaricomycetes, Hymenochaetales, Rickenellaceae. The record is from the annotation of a GenBank genome assembly.
GCCGCUGUGGCUCAAUGGUAGAGCGUUGCUUUCCUAAGGCAAAGGCUGUGGGUUCGAUCCCCACCAGUGGUU